GCAAAGGUGCCUGAAAGGAAGAAUGACAAUGAGGUUUGUCCAAGUGGUGCUUUCAGACCCCACCUGUCAGGAUUUGCUUUUGUUGGAGGUUGUUGUGCAUUUGCACUGCAGGGAAUGAAUGUCCCCUUCCCAAUUCAGCCCAGCAGAUCCAAAGGCUCUUACAGGAAUAUUUAUCCUUUACUGCCCUCUGUGAUAACUUAAUCUCCACCCUGCCAUGAGCCAUUCCUUGAGUUCUCCUGGAGAAAACCUCAGAGCAGAGGAGUUUGCAAAGGAGCCCAGAGCUGUGUUUGGAGCAGAGAGAGCUGAGAGCUGCAUCUGCCUGUGCUGCCCCAGCCUGGCAACAUCCACAUGGAGCAGCCUGGGCAGAUGGGAUUGGAUGGAGCAAAAUCCCUUCAUGGAAGAGGUUUUCUCCUGUGCAGAUCAGGCAUGGGGCAGGCAGUGAACUUUGGAAAUCAGCUGAUUUCCCCAGAAAGGAUCACCCCCAUCAGCAGGAAUGACAGGACCUGUGCCCACUGCUCAGGAUUCACCCAGCCAAAAUCAAGGAUGCUGGAAUUGCCUCUGGAUGUGUGCUGAGCUCUCACUGCAGGGGACUGCCAGGCCUUAAUGGUUGCACCAAGGACAGGAGGGGCUGCUUCCCUUCCUGGGGCUCGGCCUCCUCCCGCCCCGCGCUCCCGGCCAGCUGGGACACACGGAGGGAACACCGAGGAACAUUCCUGGCAGGGAGCAGGAGUCCCCGAGGGCUCCGUGCAGCUCUGGGCCUGAGAACAGCCCCGGCCUCAGCCCCCACCGUGACUUUGGGCUGUGAGCACUCACCUGCAGGAAAC
Long non-coding RNA from Vidua macroura (Pin-tailed whydah), 824 nucleotides. RefSeq lists it as uncharacterized. The record is from RefSeq and is a predicted model, not a curated record. The transcript is spliced from 3 exons. Lineage: Eukaryota; Metazoa; Chordata; Aves; Passeriformes; Viduidae.